UACGGAGGGUGCGAGCGUUGUCCGGAAUCACUGGGCGUAAAGGGCGCGUAGGCGGCCUGAUAAGUAGGGGGUGAAAUCCUGCGGCUUAACCGCAGGGCUGCCUUCUAAACUGUCAGGCUCGAGCACAGUAGAGGCAGGUGGAAUUCCCGGUGUAGCGGUGGAAUGCGUAGAGAUCGGGAAGAACAUCAGUGGCGAAGGCGGCCUGCUGGGCUGUUGCUGACGCUGAGGUGCGAAAGCGUGGGGAGCAAACAGG
Molecule: ribosomal RNA, 253 nt
Filed under: uncultured bacterium
Lineage: Bacteria
Description: partial 16S ribosomal RNA
Rfam family: Bacterial small subunit ribosomal RNA
Source: RNAcentral